This 103-nucleotide transfer RNA is filed under the name Streptomyces tuirus. RNAcentral describes it as "tRNA-OTHER". It matches the Rfam family "tRNA". Rfam says of the family: Transfer RNA (tRNA) molecules are approximately 80 nucleotides in length. Their secondary structure includes four short double-helical elements and three loops (D, anti-codon, and T loops). Further hydrogen bonds mediate the characteristic L-shaped molecular structure. tRNAs have two regions of fundamental functional importance: the anti-codon, which is responsible for specific mRNA codon recognition, and the 3' end, to which the tRNAs corresponding amino acid is attached (by aminoacyl-tRNA synthetases). tRNAs cope with the degeneracy of the genetic code in two manners: having more than one tRNA (with a specific anti-codon) for a particular amino acid; and 'wobble' base-pairing, i.e. permitting non-standard base-pairing at the 3rd anti-codon position. Lineage: Bacteria; Bacillati; Actinomycetota; Actinomycetes; Kitasatosporales; Streptomycetaceae. The record is from RNAcentral.
GGAGGAUUGGCCGAGUGGUAAGGCACCGGUUUGCACUGUGCUUGAUCAAUGCAGCCGUGGUCGGGCCGACAAGCCCGCGCACGUUCGAUCCGUGCAUCCUCCG